Molecule: long non-coding RNA, 1675 nt
Organism: Pteropus alecto (black flying fox)
Lineage: Eukaryota; Metazoa; Chordata; Mammalia; Chiroptera; Pteropodidae
Exons: 2
Source: RefSeq, a predicted model, not a curated record
UUUCUUAAUUUCUUAAGGCUGCCAGAAACUUUUCUAGGUUCUGUGAUAGUAUUUUGCUGAGACUUGACAUUGUGUACUUUUUCACUCAGAAUUGGUGUUUGCAUUUUCUAACCAUUUAAUGUGUCCUAUCUUCAUUGAGUGGUGAGGGACAGAGAUACUAAGCAGUAUGUAGAGGGUUAACCUUAAAAUUACUGGUCUUCUUUUGGGAUACGUUAUUUAACAGUUUACAUUUCUUUACAAGCUGUGCUCCUCGUUCCCCUCAUUACUUAUCCUGUUUUUCAGACACCAUUGCAUUCCUUACCAAGCUUGGGCAUUUGUUACUUAUGUUUGUACUGGACGUUGUUCUCUCUCCAAAUGAAAGUAUGAACUGACCCAAAGGCUUAGAGUUUCUUCUAAGUUUUCUUUAUAGUCUUCCACUUUCCUAUUCAAAUCUCAUUUCUCCCUCCUUCCCCUAUCACUUUACAAUCUAAAGAUUUUCUUUUUCUUUUAUCUCGCUUAGCUUGACAACAUACAUUUGGGGUUUAUGGACUUGAGGGAGUCUGUGAACUCCUUCUCUCCCUGCUAAAUUUAUGUGUGAUGGUGGAACUGUGUUUAUUUUUGCAAUGUACAUUCAGAAUAGUGUAUAAAAUCUAUAAAUUAUGAAAUAUAUGCAUACCUUGGAGAAAUUGCAGGUUCGGUUCCAGACCACUGCAGUAAAGUGAGUCGUAAUCUUUUUGCGGGUGGAAGGUUCUCUCCAAUUCGUAAAGAACACCGUAUCUGUAAAGCACGAUAAAGUGAAGCUCAAUAACAUGGUAUAUGUAAACAGUGCCCGAGUCAAAAAUAGGACGUUGUCAGUAACCUAGAAACAGACUCUGAGGAUCCCUUCUCCUUCCAUGUUUUUGACUUUUUAAAUUAUUAUUUCCUUGCUCUUCUGUACAAGUUUUACCUGUAUGCACAUAUAUAACAUAUGCAUCCCUUUACGAUAUUAUUGAGUUUUACCUAUUUUACAAGUUCAUGAGUGGAAUUAUCCUGUAUGUAUUCUUUAGUGUCAUGCUUUUUUCAUGCAAUAUUAAGUUUGCAAGAUUUACCCAAAUUAUAUGUAGCUGUAGUUUAUUUUCAUUGUAUAAAUAUAUCAUACUUUUUGUCUGUCACAUUUUAUUAAUUUGUUGGAGUUCUUUACACAAGAAUCUCAACCUUUUUGGUUGCGUGUGUUGUAAAUAAAUAUCUUCCACUCUGUGGCUUAUUUUAAAAUUUUUCUUUAUUGAUUUCUUUUGAUGUGAAAUUCUUAAUUAUAAUGUAAGUGUGUUUAUGAAUCUUUUUUUUUUGUUAUAGUGUCCCUCCUCCCCCUCACUGUCCUCCCUGGUUAGGAAUGCUUUCCGUACCCCAAGGCCAUGAAGAUAUUCUCCUAUAUUGUCUCUUAAAAGUUUUGUAACUUUGAGAGAGAUUGUAGCAUUCAUCAGACUCUCAACCAGAACUGAGAACCUCUGACUAAGGAACAAGGAUGUGUAGAUCACAGCAGACAUCCUGGGCCAUGAGGUUACCUUGAGGAUGGAAUCCAUGUACUGAGAAUGGUGGAGCAGAAAAGUAGAUGGAAUCUACUUUUGCCAGUGAUAAGAGAGUCAUCAUCUGAGCUUUUGAUUACCUGCCUCCUCCUUUAUUUGAAAAAAUAAAUAAAUAAACUGUCUUGUUUAAGCCA